Long non-coding RNA from Ostrea edulis (European flat oyster), 729 nucleotides. RefSeq lists it as uncharacterized. The transcript has 2 exons. The record is from RefSeq and is a predicted model, not a curated record. Lineage: Eukaryota; Metazoa; Mollusca; Bivalvia; Ostreida; Ostreidae.
CUUUCCUGUUCCAAUUGAUAAGAUGCAUGUACUCUUAUGCAUGCAUCGUGCGAGACCUUGAGCGAAUAAAAAGUUUUGAAGUAUGUUCGCCCUUGUUCUUUAAAGUUUGGAUCUGUUAGAUAUUUCAACACGUGCUCGCAAUUCAUGUACUUUAUGUGAAACCAUACUUUUAAAAUAUUUUAAAAUUUGAAACUUCAAAAUUUUUGUAAAUCUUACUGAAAAAUUACAAUGUGUAAUGUGUUAAGUCACAAAAAUGUUCAUUUCCAGGAAAUGCCGUUGAGAUUUGUGACAUGCAGUGUUCGUUUUUACUUAUUUUUUUUAUUACUGAAGACGUACACCUGAUGGCAUCCUGCAUUCAAUCACAGUGAAUCUGAAGUAUACUUCCAAGAAAUAAGGCAAUACAGCGUUCUGUGCAAUCAAAACGGUUUUUUAUAAGUAGUCAAUGCGAAACACGGAUUUUACGAAAGCUGCUUUUUGGGGUCUUCCAACAGUCUGCUUGAAUUUCAAUGGUCACGAACUGUGCUCCUUUCUUAGCUGACCUGUUUUUGUAUUCUCACGAGGCAGAAUUCAUUCAGAAGUUUCUACACGAGAAGGAAAAAUAUCAUGCUGUGGCCUUCAACUCGACAUUCAGAUAUAUCGACUAUGUUUUAUCUAUUAACAAUAUUCAUUUUCAUUCGUAUGUCGAAUCGAUAUAUCCUAGUGAACUUCAAAUAAAACACAUGACAUAUU